UACGGAGGGUGCGAGCGGUGUCCGGAAUCACUGGGCGUAAAGGGCGCGUAGGUGGCUUGGCAAGCGUGUGGUGAAAGCCCGGGGCUCAACCCCGGGUCUGCCGUGCGAACUGCCAUGGCUAGAGGACUGUAGAGGCAGGUUGAAUUUCGGGUGUAGCGGUGGAAUGCGUAGAGAUCCGGAAGAAUAACGGUGGCGAAGUCGGCCUGCUGGGCAGUUACUGACACUGAGGCGCGACAGCGUGGGGAGCAACUAGG
This 254-nucleotide ribosomal RNA is filed under the name uncultured bacterium. RNAcentral describes it as "partial 16S ribosomal RNA". It matches the Rfam family "Bacterial small subunit ribosomal RNA", at positions 524 to 776 of the family's 1533-position model. The record is from RNAcentral.